This 31-nucleotide non-coding RNA is filed under the name Mus musculus (house mouse). The record is from RNAcentral. Lineage: Eukaryota; Metazoa; Chordata; Mammalia; Rodentia; Muridae.
UAAAAAGGUUAGCUUUCCAUUUAUUCUGGUC